GGAGAUAGCCUGAAUAUUCUGAAGGCAAUGAAUCCCAUCUGAUCUUGGAAGCUAAGCAGGGACAGGCCUGGUUAGUACUGGGAAGGGGAACUGCCAAGGAAAAAUAUGUUAUAUUAACU
RNAcentral lists this ribosomal RNA (119 nucleotides) under Anolis carolinensis (green anole). The record is from RNAcentral. Lineage: Eukaryota; Metazoa; Chordata; Lepidosauria; Squamata; Anolidae.